Molecule: ribosomal RNA, 245 nt
Filed under: uncultured bacterium
Lineage: Bacteria
Description: partial 16S ribosomal RNA
Rfam family: Bacterial small subunit ribosomal RNA
Source: RNAcentral
UACGGAGGGUGCGAGCGUUGUCCGGAAUCACUGGGCGUAAAGGGCGCGUAGGCGGUUUGGCAAGUCCGUGGUGAAAGCUCGUGGCUCAACUGCGAGUCGGCCAAGGAUACUGUUGAACUGGAGCACUGUAGAGGCAGGUGGAAUUCCGGGUGUAGCGGUGGAAUGCGUAGAGAUCCGGAAGAACACCGGUGGCGAAGGCGGCCUGCUGGGCAGUAGCUGACGCUGAGGCGCGACAGCGUGGGGAG